RNAcentral lists this long non-coding RNA (1352 nucleotides) under Callithrix jacchus (white-tufted-ear marmoset). RNAcentral's name for it is "lncRNA (ENSCJAG00000078074.1)". The record is from RNAcentral. Lineage: Eukaryota; Metazoa; Chordata; Mammalia; Primates; Cebidae.
CUGUAGGCAAAAGAGCCUGACUGGUUCACAUGUUGCUGCUGUGCUUCAGAACCUAUUAAGUCAGGCACUGGAAAAUGUCAAUAUGUAAAAUAACACUGUUAUAUAAAUGUAAGAACAAAUGAAUGGGCCAAGUACAUGUUAGUGAUCCGGAAUAUUUUCUUUCUAUAGGUGAACUUAUUUAGGACUACGGAAGAACGUUUUAGUGACCAGCUGCGAUAAUGACUGAAAAGGGAGGUUAGUGAUAAGCGAUAAGGACAGGUACAGACAUCCGGCCGUUGGCUUGGCUCAUCUAGAGCUGGCGCGCAGCCCUCUCCCCGCACUUGUGCUGAACUGAGUCCAUUCCAGUCCCCCACAGAUUAGAGGUGAGUCGGAAGCCACCUUGAGUUUGUUUUUUCAGAAAGCGCCGUUUCCUAGAUUGGAUGACAAGCGGGCUUUGGUGGCCCUUCGCUCUCGCUACCCUAACAAACUACCUGGAGCACUUUCCUCUUCAAAAACAAACCACCACGUCCGCGCUCGGUGGGUGAAGUGCUUUCUACUUUUGGUUGCGAUGCUGGAGGCCCUUACAACUUCGCAAAAUGUUUAGUGUACGCGGGGGCUCAGUGUUACCCUUGCAACGGGGGAAACACCUGUUUUCCGGGUCCCAGUCCUUCCCGGAGCGCGGACUCUGUACAGCCCGCGUCCGACCUCCCCGGCUCAUCGCCCCCUUCCAGAAACGCAUGGAGCUCUUGUUCGUUCGACAGCCUCCUUUUUGUACUGGCCACCUCAAAAUCAAAUCAAAACAAAACAAAACAGCAUCGCUCAGGUGUGAAACUCCAGAGCAGAAAGUGAAAGUGGGACUAAGCCCGGCGGCUGCUGCACCGCCGAGUGCGCGCCUGGGUGGGGCGGGGCUCCAGGGCACGGCGCCCGGUCACGUGACGCCCACCCGCCCAAUCCCAGCGGUCCCGCGCCUCACGCAGACCCGGGCCUGGGAAGCUCGUCUCGCCAGCCGAAAGCUGUAUUUUGGGCUGUUACCGCCUAAACGCCUUGUGGGCCUCACUCUGUCACCCAGGCUGAGUACAGUGGGGCCAUUAUGGCUCACUACAGCCUCAACCUCCCCAGACUCAGGUGAUCCUCCUACCGCGACCUUCCUAGUAGCUAGCAUUACAAGCGUGCGCCACUAUGCCUUGCUAAUUGUGUGUGUGUUUUUUGUAUAUUUUCUACAGAUGCGGUUUCACCAUGUUGCCCAGGCUGGUCUCGAACCCCUGGGCUCAAGCAGUUUGCCCAUCUUGGCCUCCCAAAGUGUUAGGAUUUACAGGCGUGAGCCACUGCGUCAAGCCUCAUCGUAUUUGAAUUUGCAUUUCCCUGGUGACUAA